UGGGUAACCUGCCUCAAAGAGGGGAAUAGCCUCCCGAAAGGGAGAUUAAUACCGCAUAAUAUGUUUUAGUCGCAUGACUUAAACAUCAAAGGAUUUUCUUUUAGAACUUCCACUUUGAGAUGGACCCGCGGCGCAUUAGCUAGUUGGUGAGGUAACGGCUCACCAAGGCAACGAUGCGUAGCCGACCUGAGAGGGUNAUCGGCCACAUUGGAACUGAGACACGGUCCAGACCUCCGUAGGAGG
Molecule: ribosomal RNA, 243 nt
Filed under: uncultured bacterium
Lineage: Bacteria
Description: partial 16S ribosomal RNA
Rfam family: Bacterial small subunit ribosomal RNA
Source: RNAcentral